UUCUUAGUGGUAUAGGGAAGCAGGAACUGUUGAGAUAAAUGCCUUGCUUCCUUCCUUCUGUGCACCUGCAGAACUUCUAUUUUUUCCUUGCUCUCUGCUUUAUCACGGAACACUCUAUUACCUCUGAUCAGGUCCAGACGAUGAGCAGAAUCAAGGGGAAGCCAUAUCUGAUGUUCAUUAGCUGCUAGAGCUGUCAGCAAAAAGUUCUCUGCUGCCGUGCCACUUUCAAGGGCCAACCAGCAGAUUCACAUUUGCGUUAUUUCAGCAAGAAUGCCCAAGAGCAGUGUGCCCAGCCACAGCUGUGCGAAGUGAUGCCACAUUCAGAAUGACAGUGGUCUAAACCUCAGGGCAGUAAAUGCUUCUUGCAAUACAUUCGAUUGCCAUUUAACGGCGUUUAGCCUAAGGUAUGAAGAAAAGCUGCUGAUGCUUUCAAACCUGUUUAGAUGUUUUAAUAUUUUAUAGACACGGCAGCAGUGAAUGAGAACACUCCAAGGUGUACACAGUGAAUUCUGUAAUUAAAGCAGCUGAGUUUCCAGCGCUUUAUAAGAGAGCUCAUUGUUUGAACUUCUUAAUUAAAAGUGAUCAUAAUCUUGGAAAUUUUUCUUUGAAUUGGUCGUAUCUGAAGUGGCCACAUUUUGGCUAUGAAGGAGACAUGAAUCAAGUCAAAAGCUUUACCUCCAGAUCCCGGGCUGUCACUUGGCAGCAGUUCCUAUAUUAUAGGUAGCAUGGGUCAUCUGUGUACUGCCUCACCUCCAUACCCUAUUCACCUCUCUCACCACAAAACAAACAAGUGAGAGCUUCAAACAACACGGGCUUGCUGCCACUCCUGGUUCUAGUUUAGCAUCUCUUAUUGUUUUUGCCUGGCUUGCUCAUGAACAACAUUCAUCCACAUCACUGGCUAGGGGUGGGGAGGGGAAAAAGAUCUCUUGAGAGAGUUUUAUUAUUCAGCUCUCCUUCCCCAGUGGCAAUCAUCUUUAGAGAAGACAAAUUAGACUUUCUCUUAUGAUGGUGGCCCCAGAAAUCUCAAGGCUGUUGCAAAUGCAGCAAGACCUUUGACAGCCAAAGUGGGGACCACAAAACAUAUUUCUGCCACAUUCUAGUUGUUAGCACCACAUUAGGAUCAAGAGAUCAAACUACAAAUUUCACUUUAUAGUAGGAGCUAUCCUGAGACAUCUUAAUGGGGUAUGUGUAGAACAGUUAGAGGAAUAGACGGCCUUUAUGUCUCAUUUGACCUAAUAAUGACAUCCAUCAAGAAAUCUGUGGGGCUUUAUCAAUUUGUUAUCAAAAGAGUAAAAUCUAUUUUAGAUAUUUGUCCUAUUUUCAUCGUUUGACCAUAAUUUUAAUCUCCAGAUAUUAGAUGCAUGCGUUUCUAGUUUGAUAAUAUUUUGAGUUGGCAAUGAUCCCUGUUGAGAUUAACAGACUUAGAAUGAUAGCCAUCUUCCUAGCAAUCCAGUGGUUUGGGCAAGUUUAAAUGCAGUGACAGACAUUGGGGUUGUUCACUCUGUGUUACUAGGAUAAUUCCAUUUAACUAUGCGUACUUCUGUUUUGAACAACCUUGGUAUGUAAUGAAUCAAUCUUCACAUAAUAAAGUAUAGGAGUCAAUUCUCAUGUAGAUACUGUAGAUGACCUAAGGUUGUCAAGCUUGGGAAUAUCUGCCAUUACCUGCUAACGCUAUUUUGCAGGCUUCACUUUUUAAAUAAUUGAGUAUAAUAUAAGGCUUUCUAUUGGCUAAAAUUCAAUAAUAUUUAAAGACACUUUUAAAAAGCAACAAUUUUAACAUCUGGAACUCAGGAUUAAAAUAUUUUCGUAACAGAAAAAAAAAAGAGGGAAAGGUGUCAACACAUACUUUCUGUGGAAAGAAAAAAAAAAUACAUUUCCCAUUCACAGAAUUUUAUAAAGAAUACCCAAAUACUUGAUUUUAAAGAUCAAAGUGGAGGAUUUUCAUGGAUGUUUAGAGUUCAAAACACAGAGAAACCAUCCAUUUAUCUCAUGAGGUGUGCAAUUUGCAUAUAGAAUGAAUAAAAGUAAAUAAAAGAAAAGCUUCACUAGGAAUAUUUCAAAGCUCAGGACAACAUCUGUUCUCUUGAGUGAAUGGUAAGAACAUUACAUCAUCAGCUCCAGCCACAGCUCUGGAAUGCAGAGGCCAGGAUUCAGCACCACCACAUACACCUUUCCUCCUGGAAAGCUGUCUUCAGUUGUCAGAAGGGGUCUCCUGUGUUCCCCUCCAAUAAUGAUGCCUCCAACCCCGCGUAAAUCUGAGCUUUCCUUUCUGUUUCUAAAGUUUAUACAUAUUAUCUGUCUUUCUUUUUAGUUAUAUUGUUACUGUUGCAGUGGUUUUGGUUUGUACUUCACAGGAGGGUUUCUCUGUGUAGCCUUGGCUGUCCUGAAACUUGCUCCAUAGACCAGGCUGACCUUGAUCUCACAGAGAUAUUCCUGACUCUGCCUCCUGAUUAAUGGGAUUAAAGAUGUGUGCCACUAAGCCUGACAAUUUUAGUUUGUUUCAAAAAAUUAAAAGAAUUUAUCAUGUCUUCUCCUUUUUUUCUUUCCCCACCUCUUCCAAUGCAUUUCAUUAUUCUCUCUCAAAAUCGUGUGUGUGUGUGUGUGUGUGUGUGUGUGUGUGUGUGUAUGCUCAGUCUGUCUAAUGUUACUGCUAUGUAUGUUAUUAUAGGGCUGAUCAAUUGGUAUUUUGUAAACACUCUGGUUGCUCCUCCAUGAGGAAGAGUAGUUCUCAGUUGCCUCUAGUUUUUGUCUAGGUUUAGGUUCCUUGAGAUUUCCUCUUCCAUGUUAACAUCUCCAUUGGCUUCUUUCAUCCCUGUACAGUUUUUUAAAAGCAGCACCUUGUACCUUUGCCUACAAUCCUUACAUCUUCCUUCCCUAGUACAAAUUAAGAUGUUUUUAGAGACAGAACAGUAAUUGACCUCUAAGUAACUUCACUGUUAUAUUUUAGAAAGGAACAAUAUGAUGUGAUGGAGAAGCCCUAAAGUGUGCAUCAAAACACUCAGCCUUCGGCCUCAGCUAGCACACAGGCUUGACCCCUCAUUGCAUCUGUCCUCCUUGGUCUUCAGUUGAACUGAGAAAGAAAUGAAUAGACUGUAGGAAGGUACUCACAUACUCCAGGUCAUCAUUCUAGUAUUCCUCAGAUUAUAAUGGCCCGUAACUCUGCUUUAGAGCAGGAAGUUAAUUAUGUCUAAGAAAAGAUUUAGCUUUGCAAACCAUGGUAAUCUUUUUAUCAAAUUGCAUAAUUCCAUUAAAAUGAAGAGUUACAUGGGUAAUGUUAAACAGGAAAGGAUCCACUGAAAACCAUUUCUACAUAGGUACUUCUUAAUAUUUUAUAAGAGUUAGGGCUUAGGACAGCCAGACAGCUUACCAAAUAAAGGCACUUGCCACCAAGGGUGAAGUCCUGAUUUUGAUUCCUGACAUUCAAAUCAUGAGAGGGCCUAGCUCCUGUGUUGUCUUCUGAUAUGAGCAUACAGUCCAGAGUUUCUG
This 3486-nucleotide long non-coding RNA is filed under the name Mus musculus (house mouse). RNAcentral describes it as "long non-coding RNA chr5:58121438-58124924". The record is from RNAcentral. Lineage: Eukaryota; Metazoa; Chordata; Mammalia; Rodentia; Muridae.